CUACGGGGGGCUGCAGUAGGGAAUAUUGGGCAAUGGGCGCAAGCCUGACCCAGCAACGCCGCGUGCGCGAAGAAGGCCUUCGGGUCGUAAAGCGCUUUUCUGAGGGAUGAGAAAGGACAGUACCUCAGGAAUAAGCCUCGGCUAACUACGUGCCAGCAGCCGCGGUAAAACGUAGGAGGCGAGCGUUACCCGGAUUUACUGGGCGUAAAGCGUGUGCAGGCGGUCUGGCAAGUUGGAUGUGAAAGCUCCCGGCUCAACUGGGAGAGGUCGUUCAAAACUACCGGACUAGAGUGUAUCAGAGGGAGAUGGAAUUCCCGGUGUAGUGGUGAAAUGCGUAGAUAUCGGGAGGAACACCAGUGGCGAAAGCGAUCUUCUGGGAUACUACUGACGCUCAGACAUGAAAGCUAAGGUAGCGAACGGGAUUAGAUACCCGAGUAGUC
RNAcentral lists this ribosomal RNA (440 nucleotides) under uncultured bacterium. RNAcentral's name for it is "partial 16S ribosomal RNA". It matches the Rfam family "Bacterial small subunit ribosomal RNA", at positions 339 to 795 of the family's 1533-position model. The record is from RNAcentral.